RNAcentral lists this ribosomal RNA (214 nucleotides) under uncultured bacterium. RNAcentral describes it as "partial 16S ribosomal RNA". It matches the Rfam family "Bacterial small subunit ribosomal RNA", at positions 28 to 250 of the family's 1533-position model. The record is from RNAcentral.
GGUAAACGCUGGCGGCGUGCCUAAACAUGCAAGUCGAACGGUGUCCUCGGGCGACAGUGGCAGACGGCUGAGUAACGCGUGGGUGACGUACCUGCUUGUGGGGAAUAACUGCCCGAAAGGGUGGCUAAUACCGCAUACGCCCGCUGAUUCGGUUUCAGUGGGGAAAGCUUCGCAAGGAGUGCAGAUGGAGCGGCCCGCGUCCGAUUAGCUGGUU